Molecule: non-coding RNA, 2025 nt
Organism: Agelaius phoeniceus (red-winged blackbird)
Lineage: Eukaryota; Metazoa; Chordata; Aves; Passeriformes; Icteridae
Source: RefSeq, a predicted model, not a curated record
CUUUCUUUUGUUUAUGUUCUUCCCUUUAACUGAUGGCACCUGCCUCUCAAAAUCAGAGAACACAACCACCAGAACACGAUCAGGAAUUUUGCUGUGAGGAAAGCGUAGGAUACCGAGAGCUCGUCUGAGCGCUCAGUCUUCUCAGGUCUGCUGUUGUUGCACCAGCCGUCCGGCAGCUGUCGGGGAUCCGGAUUCCACGGGCCUUUCCCUUCUGAAACAUAAGCUGCCUUCCCCUGAGUAACUGCCCGAGAAAGUGCAUAUUACAUCCAAAUGGCUGGGUCAGGUAGAGGAAGGGGACAUGCUUCAUCUGCCUUCAACAUGGAGGUUAUUGGCUUUGGUAAAGAUGCAGCUCUACGUGAUGUCAUCUGUAAACCUCACCAUAAUUUCCAAUAGGAGAAGACUCCUAUGAGAGAUGAAACCAAAGAAGGCAAACAAAAAAGUUCACAGAUAAAACAGAAAAAGGAAUGGGAAUGUCCAUAGUCACAGAGACUGGCUCAGCUGGAAUCUUUGUUCCCUUUUAGAGCAUCAUUGAGAAGCAUGAUACGGAAGGUGCUAGAAAAGAAGGAUGAGGAAAAAGAAAAACCUGAAGAUGAGAAAGACAAAAGACAAAGAAGGUGAAGAUGAUGAAGAAGCAGAAGAACCAGAGGAAUAUGAUGAAGAAGAGCAUGAAGAGGUGUAAUGUUAGUUUUCCUAUUUAUACAGAGUCAGAUCCCAGUCAUUGAUAGUGUGUUGACUGGCAAAGAAAUGUUCCAAGCUUCCAAUAAGGCAGAGUUGUUUUGGGAGAAAUUAUUACAUUAAUUGUCUUUGUUGCACUACAUUGUAUUAUAAAUUUAAGCGACUGUUCUAGACUUAUUACUCACAAAGAGCUCUGAUAAAAAGAUCUUGUACAUAAGAAUGUGUUUACACAAUCAAUACACACAAUUACUCCUUUUUAUCAUGAAAACGGUGAUGCCUGUUGUUUCAUAUAUAUCAGGACUUCAUUACAGUAUUUUCCUUUUUCUUUCCCAAUAAUCUAUUACUGUUUUAAAGUGUGGGUGCUCAAGUGCAGUUUAAAUAAUUUUUCUUCUAUAAAUUGUCUUCUCUACACAUACAGUGAUUUUUUCCCCAUUGGUUUAGGAAAAUGACUACAUUUCUUCCCAUUUUGAAGAUGGAGAUGGCUUUGGUGUUGCCAGUGAUGACAAUAUGGUUGAAGCAACAUAGUAGCUGUUGUUUCUAAGUAUUAAACUGCUCAAGCCUUAUACUACCUGAAGCAGUAUAUUAUGGAGAUAGGCUGAGUAUAAAUAGACUUAAUGCUUUAGCUCUUUUGGUUUUAAGCAGACUCUCCAAAAACACACUGGAGUUUAAUUGUACUGAAUAAUUGUACAGAAUACUUUUAUUCUGUAAAAGAGACUAGGGAAUCCUAUGUUUUGUUCUUUUGCUGAGUGCUUUGCAGACAUGCCUUUUUAUGGUCCUCUGGAAUGCCUAUGGAUAGAAUAGGGUAUGCCAUUGUGUUUCCUCUGCACAGAAAAAAAGUAUGCAUUUUACUUGAAAUUGUCUAAGCAUUUGCACUAGUCAAUUCUAUGCCUCAACAGUAAAAUGGUAAAACAUAUAAUGAAAUUCUUGAUGACCACUACAGAAAAAAAGACACAGAGCCUUUACGGACAUAAGCUGCUUGUUGGUAGCUGACUCCUUUGAAUAACUUUUAAGUAACUUCUGAGUUCAGGUAACUGAAAAUAACUGACAGCUAUACAUUUCAACAUAAACUGACUUGGAAGAACCAAUGCAUGAUGUCCUAAUUAAAAAAAUAAGAAAAUGCCAAGAAAAAGCAAAAGCUUAAUGUUUGGAACCAUCCUUUUUAUUUGAAAACCAACAGCUGUAGUGUUGAAAACUUAUUACUGAGAUUAGACGCUUGAAGAAUGCUGUGACAGCACAUUCUCUAUAUCUUACUGUCUUUUGAUAGUAAAAAAUAAUAUUUUUUAUUGUUACUAUAUUACUGUUGAUCAGGGGUUUUGGGCUUUUUAUGUUGCUUGGUUUUGCAGUGUUAUU